Long non-coding RNA from Dreissena polymorpha, 463 nucleotides. RefSeq lists it as uncharacterized. The transcript has 3 exons. The record is from RefSeq and is a predicted model, not a curated record. Lineage: Eukaryota; Metazoa; Mollusca; Bivalvia; Myida; Dreissenidae.
UGAAUUGUCUUCUGAGGUGAAUUGUCUUGGGGAAUGCGGUCAGCAGGUGCGGCCCCGCCAGCAUGCAGUAGAGUGCGACUGGUGCAACCGAUGGCAGCAUCGCAAAUGUGGCACAUCAAAGAACGAUAGAAUUUGCUACUAUCGAACAACUGACAAAGACUCCAGCAGUCCAACAGCACUUUCCACGUCGAUCGCAAGCCGUUUUAUCAACUGCUGUUUGUACACGCUUUAAUUGCGACGUAAAGAUUCCUUGAAGCAGAUGUCCCUACUCUUCGUCAUGAUGUCACAAAAAGAAAGACCGACUUUGUUGCCGUAUUUCACCACAUUUUAAAUAUUUAGAUGUCUUCAAAAGGCACCAAGAACUUGUGCUACCAAGGAAACAGACUCGAGUGUUUCAAUAAGCUUUAGUCUGCCACUUCAAUUGAGUUAAAAAUAGGUCUUAAUUAAACAACAAGAAAAUAAA